This 301-nucleotide ribosomal RNA is filed under the name uncultured bacterium. Its description in RNAcentral is "partial 16S ribosomal RNA". It matches the Rfam family "Bacterial small subunit ribosomal RNA", at positions 509 to 807 of the family's 1533-position model. The record is from RNAcentral.
CAGCCGCCACGGUAAUACGAAGGGGGCUAGCGUUGCUCGGAAUUACUGGGCGUAAAGGGAGCGUAGGCGGACAUUUAAGUCAGGGGUGAAAUCCCAGAGCUCAACUCUGGAACUGCCUUUGAUACUGGGUGUCUUGAGUGUGAUAGAGGUAUGUGGAACUCCGAGUGUAGAGGUGAAAUUCGUAGAUAUUCGGAAGAACACCAGUGGCGAAGGCGACAUACUGGAUCAUUACUGACGCUGAGGCUCGAAAGCGUGGGGAGCAAACAGGAUUAGAUACCCCAGUAGUCCCUGUCUCUUAUAC